AGACCCGAAACCCGGUGAUCUAGCCAUGGGCAGGUUGAAGGUUGGGUAACACUAACUGGAGGACCGAACCGACUAAUGUUGAAAAAUUAGCGGAUGACCUGUGGCUGGGGGUGAAAGGCCAAUCAAACCGGGAGAUAGCUGGUUCUCCCCGAAAGCUAUUUAGGUAGCGCCUCGUGAAUUCAUCUCCGGGGGUAGAGCACUGUUUCGGCUAGGGGGCCAUCCCGGCUUACCAACCCGAUGCAAACUGCGAAUACCGGAGAAUGUUAUCACGGGAGACACACGGCGGGUGCUAACGUCCGUCGUGAAGAGGGAAACAACCCAGACCGCCAGCUAAGGUCCCAAAGUCAUGGUUAAGUGGGAAACGAUGUGGGAAGGCCCAGACAGCCAGGAUGUUGGCUUAGAAGCAGCCAUCAUUUAAAGAAAGCGUAAUAGCUCACUGGUCGAGUCGGCCUGCGCGGAAGAUGUAACGGGGCUAAACCAUGCACCGAAGCUGCGGCAGCGAACGUAUCACCCAAGACAACUUUACGGAGUUGACGAUUGACGGAGCGAAGCGACGUCAAAGCGUUCAUUAAAGUCGAGUUGGCUUAGGGAUACGUUCGUUGGGUAGGGGAGCGUUCUGUAAGCCUGUGAAGGUGUGUCGUGAGGCAUGCUGGAGGUAUCAGAAGUGCGAAUGCUGACAUAAGUAACGAUAAAGCGGGUGAAAAGCCCGCUCGCCGGAAGACCAAGGGUUCCUGUCCAACGUUAAUCGGGGCAGGGUGAGUCGACCCCUAAGGCGAGGCCGAAAGGCGUAGUCGAUGGGAAACGGGUUAAUAUUCCCGUACUUGGUGUUACUGCGAAGGGGGGACGGAGAAGGCUAUGUUGGCCGGGCGACGGUUGUCCCGGUUUAAGCGUGUAGGUGUGUGUUCUAGGUAAAUCCGGUUCACUUUAACACUGAGGCGUGACGACGAGGCACUACGGUGCUGA
RNAcentral lists this ribosomal RNA (963 nucleotides) under Salmonella enterica. RNAcentral's name for it is "partial 23S ribosomal RNA". It matches the Rfam family "Bacterial large subunit ribosomal RNA", at positions 711 to 1588 of the family's 2925-position model. The record is from RNAcentral. Lineage: Bacteria; Pseudomonadati; Pseudomonadota; Gammaproteobacteria; Enterobacterales; Enterobacteriaceae.